This 303-nucleotide long non-coding RNA is filed under the name Bos indicus x Bos taurus (hybrid cattle). RNAcentral describes it as "lncRNA (ENSBIXG00000017515.1)". The record is from RNAcentral. Lineage: Eukaryota; Metazoa; Chordata; Mammalia; Artiodactyla; Bovidae.
CUUAUAUAAAAGCAGAUGACAAAAUUCACAGCAAUUUUUCUGUCUGUACUGGAACUACAAAAAUCUAUUGUUUUACACUUGCAGACAUUUUUCAGAUGUCUGCCAAUAGGUGGCGCCAGCAACAUCCACCUUUGGAAGAGCCUGGGAAAUGGCAACCCACUCCAAUGUUCUUGCCUGGAGAAUCCCAGGGACAAGGGAGCCUCAUGGGCUGCCGCCUAUGGGGUCGCACAGAGUCGGACACGACUGAAGAGACUUAACAGCAACUUAGCAGCAGUGGAUUCAAAGGCGGGAAGAAGAACUUGA